Molecule: ribosomal RNA, 345 nt
Filed under: uncultured bacterium
Lineage: Bacteria
Description: bacterial SSU rRNA
Rfam family: Bacterial small subunit ribosomal RNA
Source: RNAcentral
CUAGCGACUUCUAGAGUUUGAUCCUGGCUCAGGAUGAACGCUGGCGGCGUGCUUAACACAUGCAAGUCGAACGGACUUUACAUGAAGCCUAGCGAUUGUAAAGUUAGUGGCGGACGGGUGAGUAACGCGUGGGUAACCUGCCUUACACUGGGGGAUAACACUUAGAAAUAGGUGCUAAUACCGCAUAAGCGCACAGUUUCGCAUGAAACAGUGUGAAAAACUCCGGUGGUGUAAGAUGGACCCGCGUCUGAUUAGCUAGUUGGUGAGGUAACGGCCCACCAAGGCGACGAUCAGUAGCCGGCCUGAGAGGGUGAACGGCCACAUUGGGACUGAGACACGGCCCAA